RNAcentral lists this ribosomal RNA (372 nucleotides) under Rhizobium sp. 167R. RNAcentral describes it as "bacterial SSU rRNA". It matches the Rfam family "Bacterial small subunit ribosomal RNA", at positions 977 to 1347 of the family's 1533-position model. Lineage: Bacteria; Pseudomonadati; Pseudomonadota; Alphaproteobacteria; Hyphomicrobiales; Rhizobiaceae. The record is from RNAcentral.
GCUCUUGACAUUCGGGGUAUGGGCAUUGGAGACGAUGUCCUUCAGUUAGGCUGGCCCCAGAACAGGUGCUGCAUGGCUGUCGUCAGCUCGUGUCGUGAGAUGUUGGGUUAAGUCCCGCAACGAGCGCAACCCUCGCCCUUAGUUGCCAGCAUUUAGUUGGGCACUCUAAGGGGACUGCCGGUGAUAAGCCGAGAGGAAGGUGGGGAUGACGUCAAGUCCUCAUGGCCCUUACGGGCUGGGCUACACACGUGCUACAAUGGUGGUGACAGUGGGCAGCGAGACAGCGAUGUCGAGCUAAUCUCCAAAAGCCAUCUCAGUUCGGAUUGCACUCUGCAACUCGAGUGCAUGAAGUGGAAUCGCUAGUAAUCGCAG